GGCCAGUUGGUCUAGGGGCAUAAUUCUCGCUUUGGGUGCGAGAGGUCCCGGGUUCAAAUCCCGGACGGGCCC
Molecule: non-coding RNA, 72 nt
Organism: Ciona savignyi (Pacific transparent sea squirt)
Lineage: Eukaryota; Metazoa; Chordata; Ascidiacea; Phlebobranchia; Cionidae
Source: Rfam